UGGUUACAGCUCGUCGUGUCGUGUCCGCCCGAUGGCGGUCAGCUUGGAGAGUUGAGCGCUGAACUUGCCGUCGUUGUGGGUCACUACAGGUCAGAGGGGAGAGUAAAUUGCUGUCACAGACAACAUCACUACAAAAAUACGGGGACACACAUACAGUGUCAGCAGCAACGCAAAGCACCUGAACCCAGUCAGCAUUGUCUGGCCGCAGAUCUGCAGAGGCAGCAAUUUCAGACCUGCUGGUCCAGUCCAACGUGCGCUGCCUGUUGCCAAGUCAAGUAACAGCAGCAGGAUGGAGAUGAGCAAGGAGAGUAAUACAGUGCUGCAGGAACAAGUCCUAAAAUCCAAAUCCAAGCACUUCUGGUUCCUUCAUUACAAAGUUGAUGGUUUUUUUACAGUUCGCCUUUACAGCCUCGUUGUGUUUAAACUCGCACUCUUCCAAACGAUAACUAACUUUCCAAGAGGAGAAGCUGUUGCAGAAGAGGCAGGUGCAUCAAAUCCAAUUACAAGUUGGCGGAAGCUUAGUGGUAGAGAUGACAGUGAUGCAGUUUGUUUAUAGCCUAACAUUAGACUUUUAUAUCUGGCGAUUGCAUUUAGGCUUCAAAUCAUCAUAAAAGUGGUGUACGUGUCUUUUGUUUGUCCCUUAUUUUCUGCAACAAUCUUAAAGCUAAUGGAAAAAUCCCAUUGGCUUUUUUCUUUUUCUUCUUGAGUGAAUGAGGCUGAUACCAACUUCUGGGCUGGCCUACCAAAAUACAUCAUUCCUGCAGCACUCUAUAGCUGCAGCCAUUUUUCAUUCGUGCCACCUGCAGGCAAUGAAUGCUACAACUGCAUUUUUCUUUUCUUUUUAGAACUGCUGCUGUGUUCAUGAGUUUUAUGUUUUAGAUAUUCAACCUGAAAAUGUUAUUGUUCUGUUCCCUAGGGCAUUUUUUCUUUUACAUUACUUUGGACAGAAGGGGUGAGGAGACUUAAACAGUUUUUUAUUUGUCCAAAGAUCACGGAAAAACUGUUGGGGACUCCAUCCCAGAGAUGGGAUUAUGCUCAAGUGAUAUUUGGUGAGUUUUUUUAUUCUGUAAGACUCCGCAAUGUAGAUUUCUCUACUGAAAAUUGCAGUUACAGUAAAUUGCUGUUCAGUUUGGCUCGUUGCUAAUCACAGUCUGGAACUGGAAAUGCAUUGGGGAUUUUCUGAAGAUACUGAAUAACAAGAAACAAUGCUACAGGGACAAAUGGCAUCCCACUCACUGCUUGAGUAUAUGCUUGAGACGGAAAUCAGCACGGGAGGGAGGGAGGGAGAGAAAGAUUUACAUUACAAGCAGUGGGAGUUGAUCAAUUUCUCACCUGUUGAGUCUCUAAUGGUGAAUUCCUCCGGCUUCAAAGGCACGUCACUCUGUCCCGCCGCUGCCGUCUGCGACUGGAGUCACGUGCAGCAGCAGUGAUGAAGAGGAGGAUGAGAGGAAAAGGAAGAAGGAGAAAAAUAAACAGGAUGCGAACAGUGGACGGGGCUGGGAAAGAUGAAGGAUGUGACGUCAAGGGCACAGAGCCAGAGCGAGAGGCUGAAACAUGUGCUCUCACUAAUGACAGAGUGUCAGGACUGUCCUUGCCGGGGGAAGGAGGCGUGUCAAGGUGUUCUUCACUUCACCAACAACCACAUCAGACACAGACGACAGUCCUCCGCCGAGUGACUGAGCUCAGACACAGUCCAGACAUUAACCUUCCAUGAAACAUUACGUGCAAAGAUGCGACAAUUCUGAGUCGGACUUCCAGGACAAAUAAAGUUUAGAUGUCACUUUGAA
Scophthalmus maximus (turbot) is the source of this 1787-nucleotide long non-coding RNA. RefSeq lists it as uncharacterized. The record is from RefSeq and is a predicted model, not a curated record. Lineage: Eukaryota; Metazoa; Chordata; Actinopteri; Pleuronectiformes; Scophthalmidae. The transcript has 2 exons.